Molecule: ribosomal RNA, 1823 nt
Filed under: Staphylococcus pseudintermedius
Lineage: Bacteria; Bacillati; Bacillota; Bacilli; Caryophanales; Staphylococcaceae
Description: partial 23S ribosomal RNA
Rfam family: Bacterial large subunit ribosomal RNA
Source: RNAcentral
CGAAAACGAAUUCUCUCUUGAGUGGAUCCUGAGUACGACGGAGCACGUGAAAUUCCGUCGGAAUCUGGGAGGACCAUCUCCUAAGGCUAAAUACUCUCUAGUGACCGAUAGUGAACCAGUACCGUGAGGGAAAGGUGAAAAGUACCCCGGAAGGGGAGUGAAAGAGAACUUGAAACCGUGUGCUUACAAGUAGUCAGAGCCCGUUAAUGGGUGAUGGCGUGCCUUUUGUAGAAUGAACCGGCGAGUUACGAUCUGAUGCAAGGUUAAGCAGAAAAUGUGGAGCCGUAGCGAAAGCGAGUCUGAAUAGGGCGAAUGAGUAUUUGGUCGUAGACCCGAAACCAGGUGAUCUACCCUUGGUCAGGUUGAAGUUCAGGUAACACUGAAUGGAGGACCGAACCGACUUACGUUGAAAAGUGAGCGGAUGAACUGAGGGUAGCGGAGAAAUUCCAAUCGAACUUGGAGAUAGCUGGUUCUCUCCGAAAUAGCUUUAGGGCUAGCCUCAAGUGAUGAUUAUUGGAGGUAGAGCACUGUUUGGACGAGGGGCCCCUCUCGGGUUACCGAAUUCAGACAAACUCCGAAUGCCAAAUAAUUUAACUUGGGAGUCAGAAUGUGGGUGAUAAGGUCCAUAUUCGAAAGGGAAACAGCCCAGACCACCAGCUAAGGUCCCAAAAUAUAUGUUAAGUGGAAAAGGAUGUGGCGUUGCCCAGACAACUAGGAUGUUGGCUUAGAAGCAGCCAUCAUUUAAAGAGUGCGUAAUAGCUCACUAGUCGAGUGACACUGCGCCGAAAAUGUACCGGGGCUAAACAUAUUACCGAAGCUGUGGAUUGUCCUUUGGACAAUGGUAGGAGAGCGUUCUAAGGGCGUUGAAGCAUGAUCGCAAGGACAUGUGGAGCGCUUAGAAGUGAGAAUGCCGGUGUGAGUAGCGAAAGACGGGUGAGAAUCCCGUCCACCGAUUGACUAAGGUUUCCAGAGGAAGGCUCGUCCGCUCUGGGUUAGUCGGGUCCUAAGCUGAGGCCGACAGGCGUAGGCGAUGGAUAACAGGUUGAUAUUCCUGUACCACCAUUAUUCGUUUUAAGCGAUGGGGGGACGCAGUAGGAUAGGCGAAGCGUGCUGUUGGAGUGCACGUCCAAGCAGUGAGAUUGAGUGUUAGGCAAAUCCGGCACUCUUAAGAUUGAGCUGUGAUGGGGAGAGGAACUUGUUCCUCGAGUCGUUGAUUUCACACUGCCGAGAAAAGCCUCUAGCUAGAAUAACGGUGCCCGUACCGCAAACCGACACAGGUAGUCAAGAUGAGAAUUCUAAGGUGAGCGAGCGAACUCUCGUUAAGGAACUCGGCAAAAUGACCCCGUAACUUCGGGAGAAGGGGUGCUCUUUGAGGUUCACGCUUCGAAGAGCCGCAGUGAAUAGGCCCAAGCGACUGUUUAUCAAAAACACAGGUCUCUGCUAAACCGUAAGGUGACGUAUAGGGGCUGACGCCUGCCCGGUGCUGGAAGGUUAAGAGGAGUGGUUAGCGCAAGCGAAGCUACGAAUCGAAGCCCCAGUAAACGGCGGCCGUAACUAUAACGGUCCUAAGGUAGCGAAAUUCCUUGUCGGGUAAGUUCCGACCCGCACGAAAGGCGUAACGAUUUGGGCACUGUCUCAACGAGAGACUCGGUGAAAUCAUAGUACCGGUGAAGAUGCCGGUUACCCGCGACAGGACGGAAAGACCCCGUGGAGCUUUACUGUAGCCUGAUAUUGAAAUUCGGUACAGUUUGUACAGGAUAGGUAGGAGCCUUAGAAGCGUGAGCGCUAGCUUACGUGGAGGCAUUGGUGGGAUACUACCCUAA